AUACGGAGGGUGCAAGCGUUACUCGGAAUCACUGGGCGUAAAGCGCGCGCAGGCGGUCUUUUAAGUUGGAUGUGAAAGCCUAUGGCCCAACCAUAGAACUGCAUCCAAAACUAUUUAGCUAGAGUGUGGGAGAGGAAGAUGGAAUUAGUUGUGUAGGGGUAAAAUCCGUAGAGAUAACUAGGAAUACCAAAAGCGAAGGCAAUCUUCUGGAACACUACUGACGCUGAGGCGCGAAAGCGUGGGGAGCAAACAGGAUUAGAUACCCUAGUAGUCC
RNAcentral lists this ribosomal RNA (274 nucleotides) under uncultured bacterium. RNAcentral's name for it is "partial 16S ribosomal RNA". It matches the Rfam family "Bacterial small subunit ribosomal RNA", at positions 523 to 796 of the family's 1533-position model. The record is from RNAcentral.